UCCUAUUUCCUCCAGAAGCACAUCCACCAGCUGAUGGCUGCUCUUCCCCUUGGCCAGACAGUCCCACCGCUCCGCUCCACCAGGAAUCACUUCUGCAACAACAAAAAGAUGCUGAGCUUCUAACAGAGAGAUUCAAAACGUCUCCUGGGCACAACGUCUCCAUACUCUGCUGUCAUUGCAUUCAGCUUCACUUGGGCUUUUGUCAGGUCCUGCCGAGCCAUCUUCAAUGCCAGAGUGAGUUUCACCACGUCUUCGCCCUUGACAGCUUUUUCUGGUUGGAAAAGACCACUGAGAUGACCUUGUCCAACUGUCCACCCAUGUCCCUGCCUAAUCCCUUCCCUAUGUGCCUGUGGAUAUUUUGUUCACAAAUUUAGCUUACUUAAAGAAUCAGAUCAUAUCUGAUGAUAUUUUGGAGACGCUCAGUGCUGCGCUGUGGGUGUGCAUUGGGCCUCUGGGCAGGACAGGUUCCUACAGAGAUCUACUUUCCCCACCUUGGGCCUGGUGCUGUUUCACGUUCAGCUGCUCGUUGUGCAUGUCAUUCAGUUUUGCUAGAAGCAGUUUGCGGGCGCCGUACUCCUGGAGGUAGCGAGUGUACUCCUCAGCUACGCUCAUCUGCAGGUGCUCCACCUGCAUGAAUUGAUCAGCAUCAGUGGGAAGCCCUGGGCUGGUGUGGUGAGCCUAGAGCAGAACUAUGGGGCAGAGAGUGGUGUAAGGGAUGUGAAGUGGAAAAAGCUGUAGCAGGAGAGUGAGCAAGAAAUAACACUGUAGGAAAGGAUGGUCAGAUAGAGACAUGCCAGAAGGGUUUGGACUCUGAAGAAGGGUGCUGAAGAGUGCUCUAUCUGUGUUGUGCCUUUCAGAGAGUGAAUUACAUACAUUUUAUGCUGAGUUGCACAGUUUCUCUAUUGUAAUUCCAUGCCUAAAAAAAAACAACCAGCAGGCACCUUGGAGAGCUCCAGUGAUUCUGAUGAGAACUUUGAAGAUGCAAACUAUGCUAGUCUCAUAAAAAUGUGAGCCCUCUAUAGCAAUGCUGCUUUGCCUAUGGCCCUACACCAUCACAGCCACACCACACUGUCACCACCAAACCAGUCAGCAGCUUCAAACAAUCAUAAAAUCAUUAAUGUUGAAAUCUCUCCAAAUGAACUUUGUGUAUCUAACCCAGUUAGAGUAUUUGAAUGUUGUCUCAACAGCAGGAUUCUGGUUUUAGCAGAAUUAUAUUUCCAACAUCCUUCAUGCAAACUGCAAAACUUAAAUAGCCCAAACCAGAAGUUGGAUUAUAGGCUCUAUUCCUAGGAAAAGCAAACGUAUACCUCCCCCCGACCCCCCAGAAAGCAAACUAUAUGUAAAUUCUCAGUUGCCUCAGAGGUGGUUCUAUUUAUCUCUAUAUGAGGCUUGUAAACACCAACAAGUGGAGGAACCAAAGGAAUGUCUAGGACUGCAAAGGGAAGAAAUAUUUUUCAGUGUUACAAUCUAGCUGGUGAAACCCAAGUCUCCAAGGUUCAACAAGUGCUAUCUCCAUGACUAAGGAGCCUACAGUCUGUGCAGAAGCUGGUUGUCUGGGACAGCAGCUACAAGCCAAGGCUUCUGAUAGCAGCAGCACAGCCAGCCCUAAGGGAACACGAAUGCUCUUGAGCUGGCUGAGAUCCAGCAUCUCUACAAUACCAGCUGCUCACCACCAGCUCCAGCACUUUUCCUGGCACCAAAGGAUGAGCACUUGGGAGGAAGAGAUCAGAUGGAUCCAGCUGAAGCUGGGAGAUAGUUGACCCGUAGCCUUAUUUACCUGAGUCUGAAGAGAACACUUCUCUUCCUUCAUGUUGUCAAUAAACUUUAACAAAUGAUGUUUCUCUUGCUUUAAAGUAUUUAUUUCCACUUUCUCCUUUUCCUGCAGUGCUAAUAUCUGCUGGGUGCACUCCUCAGAGACAGUGGUGACCAUGGCCUUCAGGGGCUCUAGGGCACGAAUCAUCUCCUUCUGAUGAGCUAAAGAGAGCAGAGGUGGGUUCUUACAAUGAGCAACAAAGCCUGAAUUUUACUUUUAUUUUGUUUUCCUGAGUAUUUCAGGCUUUGUGAUAAUGAACACUGAUGAUGCCAUCAUGUUUCACUAGGUUGUCACCGUUUAAGCACAGGCAGCAUAUGGAGCUAAAGACAGCUGCUAAUUAGUGGUUUACCCUGUUUGGGAAAGCAUGUUCUUCAUAAACUUAGCUUUGCUUUCCUGUCUCCAAAUGCAAGACCUUGUGCCACCUUCUGCAUAUAAACUUGUCUACACACUCUCCCCUCUUUUCAGGGAUGCAUUGCCCUCUCUUCAUUUCCCUUUUUCAUCAGCACAGCUAAUAAAGAACUCAUCAUAUUGGCUUUGCUGCCAUCUGUGCUUUUCACUCUGAACAACUUCCCCUUUGAAUUGAAUUUUUUUCUUAAAGGCACUUAUCUGAGGGGACUAGUGUGAGUACUUGACUUGAGUGCCAGAUCCCAGUUAUGUGGUGGAACUCCACCAUCUCCUUGGUAUGGAGGCUUGCUUUUAUGGCUAAAUGAAAUUCCACCAGGAGAAGAUGUAAUUCAAAUGAGGCUGUGGCAAAGGUUUUGCUUGCUGAAUAAUGCAUAUACUCUCUCUCCUGAACGGGAUAGAAAUGCUGAUAGAUGCUGAAUAAUCUGAUUUGCAGAUAUUUUCCUCCUUGACAGAACUUUAAUAUUAGUAUUCAUGUAUGAAUAUAUGCACAUAUGCACAGCAGAUUCAGUAUUUUAAAACUUAACAUGCAUGCACAAAUCUAAAAACAGGAAUGACUUUUCUUAUUAUAGUUGGGUGUGAGUUUCCUUCCUGUGCUGUAACUGUACCAAAGGUUUUUCUGAACUCUUUCACUAUGACACUGGUACCAGGACUGCUCCUCAGGAGAUGGCAAAAAUUAGAACACCAGCAUAGCUCACUUGGUGUGAACAAAGAACACUGUGUUCUGAGGUGUAAUUGGAGUGCUUCACAGCUGGCUGCUGACCACUUGGAAAGGAGGAGUCAAUGAAACAUCUUGAGUAGAAAAUAUGCUUAAACAAAGAUAAUAAUAAUGUUAAAGUAAGCUUCAGCACAACACAAGCACUAGUAAUCCUCUGGGAGCUGAAGGAAUGUCUACUAAAGAGUUCUAGAAGGAAAGGGAUAAUAAAAUGUUGUGACGUAAUGAUUAAUACUGAUUCAUGGAUCUGACACUGAAGUGCACUGUGCAAAGAUUUCUGCCUACAGUGAGGGACUAUCAUUAGGCAGUCAGGUAACAGAUACUGGGAUAAACAAUACAUUUUAUUGAAGAAACUGUCCCAUUAAAAAAAUGUUGACAUCUGCAGGCUGCUCAGUGUGACAGGAGUUCCUAGUGACAGGCUAUUUCUAGCACACUGACUGUUUACAAAGCACUGCUAUCACUGUGGCAUCUCAGUGCCAAGAGGGGUUUAAAGCACACCACGAAUGGACAGAGAACAGCCAGUUCAGCUCUUUGCCCUGCCUUGCUUCGGGAGUAAUGCAAGCUUCAAGUUACCACUGCAAGUGCAUCCAAAUAUAUCAGUAUGAUAUAUUCUACUAUCAACAUGGUGGUUUCAGAAAAGCUCUGAGAUACGGAUGUUGCCCAAACUGUGUGUGUGGUGAAGAUCUUAAGGAUAAAUAAAUACAUAAAAACCUUAAUCUAAAUAAUAAAAAUAUGAUAUAUAUAUAUACAUAUAUAUAAACACCUGUUAUGUAUGAAGGAAGUAGACUCCCAUGUGGUACCUAGGCCAUGGGAAGACUUCACUAAUAGACCAGGAAGAUAGUUUUACCGUUUGAGAUAUUUGUAUGUCCCUCAAAGUGAACUAUUUUAUGUAAAUAUUUAGAAUGUUCAUUCUAUAUAUAUAUCCAAUAUGUAACUGGCUGUGUAAGACUACAUCUCCAUUAGUGUUUUCCCCUCAGAGGUCAAAGUCCAAGAGCUUACCCAAUGUGGCUUCAUACUCAUUCUUUAUAGCUGACAGCAAGGGCUUGUAGGUCUUGAAGUUGUCUAUGAAGAAUUCAAAUAUCUCUCUGUAGGGCUGAGAGAGGAAAGAGAGCUUGAGAAACAUGGUUUACUUCUCAGAAUUCAGAUAGUUGGGCCCUGGGCAGCAUAAUCUGGUGGGACAGCCCAUGUGCCAUCCUCAGCAGAAUAAAACUUGUUUGGAGGGACAGUCAGAGUCCCACGUUGUAUAUGGGCCUGGGAAGACUUCACUAGCAAUAGGUAAUGUUCUCACUGAGUGUACCUCGCUAUUAAAUGCAACUAAACAUAUCGUGUCAUGCAGUAAAAAUACUUUCCAAGAAUAAUGCAUUCAUGAAACCUCUGUUUUCUCUUGCUGUUAAUCAUCCAUCAGUAAUCCACUGAUGAAUUGACAGUUGGACUAGAUGAUCCUAGUGGUCUUUUCCAGUCUUAAUGAUUCUGUGGUUCUUUCCCUCCAUUCUUUUCCAUUUACCACAUUCUUUUCUUAUCACUACUGGAUUCCUCUGGGAAUUAGAAUUCAUGCAGAGAAACUCUAAUCCAAAUGUCUCACUCAGCAUAAAUGCUCUGGUUGUGUUUUGGAUUAAAGUGGUGGUUUUCAGUGUC
Molecule: long non-coding RNA, 4565 nt
Organism: Gallus gallus (chicken)
Lineage: Eukaryota; Metazoa; Chordata; Aves; Galliformes; Phasianidae
Exons: 2
Source: RefSeq, a predicted model, not a curated record